This 404-nucleotide ribosomal RNA is filed under the name uncultured bacterium. RNAcentral's name for it is "bacterial SSU rRNA". It matches the Rfam family "Bacterial small subunit ribosomal RNA", at positions 29 to 479 of the family's 1533-position model. The record is from RNAcentral.
AACGAACGCUGGCGGCAUGCCUAAUACAUGCAAGUCGAACGAAGGCUUCGGCCUUAGUGGCGCACGGGUGCGUAACGCGUGGGAAUCUACCCUUGGGUUCGGAAUAACAGUUAGAAAUGACUGCUAAUACCGGAUGAUGACGUAAGUCCAAAGAUUUAUCGCCCAAGGAUGAGCCCGUGUAAGAUUAGCUAGUUGGUGAGGUAAAGGCUCACCAAGGCUACGAUCUUUAGCUGGUCUGAGAGGAUGAUCAGCCACACUGGGACUGAGACACGGCCCAGACUCCUACGGGAGGCAGCAGUAGGGAAUAUUGGACAAUGGGCGAAAGCCUGAUCCAGCAAUGCCGCCGUGAGUGAUGAAGGCCUUAGGGUUGUAAGCUCUUUACCCGAGAUGAUAAUGACAGUAUC